RNAcentral lists this ribosomal RNA (253 nucleotides) under uncultured bacterium. RNAcentral's name for it is "partial 16S ribosomal RNA". It matches the Rfam family "Bacterial small subunit ribosomal RNA", at positions 524 to 776 of the family's 1533-position model. The record is from RNAcentral.
UACGAAGGGGGCUAGCGUUGCUCGGAAUCACUGGGCGUAAAGGGUGCGUAGGCGGUUCUUUAAGUCAGGGGGGAAAUCCUGGAGCUCAACUCCAGAACUGCCUUUGAUACUGAAGAUCUUGAGUUCGGGAGAGGUGAGUGGAACUGCGAGUGUAGAGGUGAAAUUCGUAGAUAUUCGCAAGAACACCAGUGGCGAAGGCGGCUCACUGGCCCGAUACUGACGCUGAGGCACGAAAGCGUGGGGAGCAAACAGG